Molecule: ribosomal RNA, 517 nt
Filed under: uncultured bacterium
Lineage: Bacteria
Description: bacterial SSU rRNA
Rfam family: Bacterial small subunit ribosomal RNA
Source: RNAcentral
GACGAACGCUGGCGGCGUGCCUAAUACAUGCAAGUCGAGCGAAUGGAUUUGGAGCUUGCUCCAAUGAAGUUAGCGGCGGACGGGUGAGUAACACGUGGGCAAUCUGCCCGUAAGACUGGGAUAACUCCGGGAAACCGGGGCUAAUACCGGAUAAUCCCGACUCUCUCCUGAGAGUCGGUUGAAAGAUGGUUUCGGCUAUCACUUACGGAUGAGCCCGCGGCGCAUUAGCUAGUUGGUGGGGUAAUGGCCCACCAAGGCGACGAUGCGUAGCCGACCUGAGAGGGUGAUCGGCCACACUGGGACUGAGACACGGCCCAGACUCCUACGGGAGGCAGCAGUAGGGAAUCUUCCGCAAUGGACGAAAGUCUGACGGAGCAACGCCGCGUGAGUGAUGAAGGUUCUCGGAUCGUAAAGCUCUGUUGUUAGGGAAGAACACGUACGAGAGUAACUGCUCGUACCUUGACGGUACCUAACCAGAAAGCCACGGCUAACUACGUGCCAGCAGCCGCCGUAACAC